Molecule: ribosomal RNA, 252 nt
Filed under: uncultured Acidovorax sp.
Lineage: Bacteria; Pseudomonadati; Pseudomonadota; Betaproteobacteria; Burkholderiales; Comamonadaceae
Description: partial 16S ribosomal RNA
Rfam family: Bacterial small subunit ribosomal RNA
Source: RNAcentral
ACGUAGGGUGCGAGCGUUAAUCGGAAUUACUGGGCGUAAAGCGUGCGCAGGCGGUUUUGUAAGACAGAUGUGAAAUCCCCGGGCUCAACCUGGGAACUGCAUUUGUGACUGCAUGACUCGAGUACGGCAGAGGGGGAUGGAAUUCCGCGUGUAGCAGUGAAAUGCGUAGAUAUGCGGAGGAACACCGAUGGCGAAGGCAAUCCCCUGGGCCUGUACUGACGCUCAUGCACGAAAGCGUGGGGAGCAAACAGG